GGGCCCGCACAAGCGGUGGAGUAUGUGGUUUAAUUCGAUGCAACGCGAAGAACCUUACCAGGGUUUGACAUCCUGCGAAUCUCUUGGAAACAGGAGAGUGCCUUCGGGAACGCAGUGACAGGUGGUGCAUGGCUGUCGUCAGCUCGUGUCGUGAGAUGUUGGGUUAAGUCCCGCAACGAGCGCAACCCACGUCUUUAGUUGCCAGCAUUUAGUUGGGCACUCUAGAGAGACCGCCGGUGACAAACCGGAGGAAGUGUGGAUGACGUCAAGUCAUCAUGCCCCUUACGUCCUGGGGCUACACACGUACUACAAUGCUACGGACAAAGGGCAGCAAGUUCGCGAGGACAAGCAAAUCCCAUAAACCGUGGCUC
Molecule: ribosomal RNA, 371 nt
Filed under: uncultured bacterium
Lineage: Bacteria
Description: bacterial SSU rRNA
Rfam family: Bacterial small subunit ribosomal RNA
Source: RNAcentral